AGAGGCGGAGAUAACGAAGAAGGAACAAUGAGGGUUAUUAUAUCUGAAGAUUCCGACGGACACGGGUUCGUCGGUAUUCCGUCGGUAUAAUUAAAAUAUACCAAAUGCCGAUUCGCGAAAAUUUUCAAGCGGUUUGGUUCUCCCGGGCAAAUUUAAUUUCCGACGGAAUGUGUCCGUCAGUAUAUUCCGACGGAAUUCCGACGACAUAGUGUUUAGGAUGUUGAUUUCAAGUUUCUAAAUGCAAAAUCCAAAUCUUUGAUAAUAUAUAUAGUAUUUGCAUAAAUAUUUAACAAUAAAAAUGUUUUAUAACACGAUUUUACACAUCAAAUUUUUUUGUAGUGUAAGCUUAUAUAUGAAUAUGAUUGUAUAAGUAUAUAAUGUUAAGAUGAGAUGUUAUGAAAACAAUGAUAUGCAUACAUAAAUAUUUUAUGAGUUGUUAUAUUUGAACGGUUGCGAUCUAAUACUAUACUAAACAC
This 476-nucleotide long non-coding RNA is filed under the name Brassica napus (rape). RNAcentral describes it as "long non-coding RNA (BNAP_LNC018012)". The record is from RNAcentral. Lineage: Eukaryota; Viridiplantae; Streptophyta; Magnoliopsida; Brassicales; Brassicaceae.